Molecule: ribosomal RNA, 789 nt
Filed under: uncultured bacterium
Lineage: Bacteria
Description: bacterial SSU rRNA
Rfam family: Bacterial small subunit ribosomal RNA
Source: RNAcentral
AGAGUUUGAUCCUGGCUCAGGACGAACGCUGGCGGCGUGCUUAACACAUGCAAGUCGAACGGAAAGGCCCCUUCGGGGGUACUCGAGUGGCGAACGGGUGAGUAACACGUGGGUGAUCUGCCCUGCACUUUGGGAUAAGCCUGGGAAACUGGGUCUAAUACCGAAUAGGACCGCAUGCUUCAUGGUGUGUGGUGGAAAGCUUUUGCGGUGUGGGAUGGGCCCGCGGCCUAUCAGCUUGUUGGUGGGGUAAUGGCCUACCAAGGCGACGACGGGUAGCCGGCCUGAGAGGGUGUCCGGCCACACUGGGACUGAGAUACGGCCCAGACUCCUACGGGAGGCAGCAGUGGGGAAUAUUGCACAAUGGGCGCAAGCCUGAUGCAGCGACGCCGCGUGGGGGAUGACGGCCUUCGGGUUGUAAACCUCUUUCAGUAUCGGCGAAGCUCCAGGAUUUUUCUUGGGGUGACGGUAGGUACAGAAGAAGCACCGGCCAACUACGUGCCAGCAGCCGCGGUAAUACGUAGGGUGCGAGCGUUGUCCGGAAUUACUGGGCGUAAAGAGCUCGUAGGUGGUUUGUCACGUUGUCCGUGAAAACUCACAGCUUAACUGUGAGCGUGCGGGCGAUACGGGCAGACUGGAGUACUGUAGGGGAGACUGGAAUUCCUGGUGUAGCGGUGGAAUGCGCAGAUAUCAGGAGGAACACCGGUGGCGAAGGCGGGUCUCUGGGCAGUAACUGACGCUGAGGAGCGAAAGCGUGGGGAGCGAACAGGAUUAGAUACCCUGGUAGUCCAA